RNAcentral lists this ribosomal RNA (424 nucleotides) under uncultured bacterium. RNAcentral describes it as "partial 16S ribosomal RNA". It matches the Rfam family "Bacterial small subunit ribosomal RNA", at positions 360 to 776 of the family's 1533-position model. The record is from RNAcentral.
AAUUUUGGACAAUGGGCGCAAGCCUGAUCCAGCAAUGCCGCGUGCAGGACGAAGGCCNNNGGGUUNUCAACUGCUUUUGUACGNAACNAAAAGCCUUCUUCUAAUACAGGAGGGUGAUGACGGUACCGUAAGAAUAAGCACCGGCUAACUACGUGCCAGCAGCCGCGGUAAUACGUAGGGUGCAAGCGUUAAUCGGAAUUACUGGGCGUAAAGCGUGCGCAGGCGGUUUUGUAAGACAGAGGUGAAAUCCCCGGGCUCAACCUGGGAACUGCCUUUGUGACUGCAAGGCUGGAGUGCGGCAGAGGGGGAUGGAAUUCCGCGUGUAGCAGUGAAAUGCGUAGAUAUGCGGAGGAACACCGAUGGCGAAGGCAAUCCCCUGGGCCUGCACUGACGCUCAUGCACGAAAGCGUGGGGAGCAAACAGG